This 119-nucleotide ribosomal RNA is filed under the name Helianthus annuus (common sunflower). The record is from RNAcentral. Lineage: Eukaryota; Viridiplantae; Streptophyta; Magnoliopsida; Asterales; Asteraceae.
GGUUGCGAUCAUACCAGCACUAAUGCACCGGAUUCUAUCAGAACUCCGCAGUUAAGCGUGCUUGGGCGAGAGUAGUACUAGGAUGGGUGACCCCCUGGGAAGUCCUCGUGUUGCAACCC